CAUUGCUAUCUGGAAGCAGAGCCUUUUCCGCCAGUGGCCUGACUGCACAGUCUUCGAGGCUGGAAUAGAAAUCAUGCCAGUGACUCUGGGUUACUGGGAUAUCCGUGGACUGGGCCACGCCAUCCGCCUGCUCCUGGAAUACACAGAAACAAGCUAUGAAGAGAAGAGAUACGCCAUGGGGGACGCUCCUGACUAUGACAGAAGCCAGUGGCUGAACGACAAAUUCAAGCUGGAUCUGGACUUUCCCAAUCUGCCCUACUUAAUUGAUGGCUCACACAAGGUCACCCAGAGCAAUGCUAUCCUGCGCUACCUUGGCCGCAAGCACAACCUGUGUGGAGAGACAGAGGAGGAGAGGAUUCGUGUAGACAUUUUGGAGAAACAGGUUAUGGAUACCCGCAUUCAGAUGGGCACGCUCUGCUACAGCCCUGAUUUCGAGAAACGGAAGCCAGAGUUCUUGAAGGGCCUCCCAGACCAGCUGAAGCUCUACUCCGAGUUCCUGGGGAAGCAGCCAUGGUUUGCAGGGAACAAGGUCACCUUUGCAGAUUUCCUUGUCUAUGAUGUCCUUGAUCAGCACCAGAUGUUUGAGCCCAAGUGCCUAGACGCCUUCCCAAACCUGAUGGACUUCGUGGCCCGCUUUGAGGUGAUGCCCUGAUCCUGCUUCCUCUUGGAUGCCUCCCUUCCCUUCCCCCCCUUUCCAGGUUGCUUCCUCAAUCCUGAGGGUUGACCGAAGAAUAACGAGGAUCUUUUGAGCACUGGCUUUCUGCCAGGACCCGUGUUCAGCCUCCUAGAUCUUCCGAGUCAAUUUAUCAUUGCCAAAUGCAGGCGACUUGGAUAGAAUUAGCUGUCACACUGAACAGAUAAGGAACUUGAGACUGUGGAGGGUAAGCUGCUUGACAUCCUAGCAGGAGUAGAGGCUGUUCUGGGCUCCUGACUGCUUUUGGCUUCUAAAAGCAACAUUUGGUGUCUUUUUCCGAUUUGUGCCAAAAAGUAAGUCAGGCCUUUGUACAGCGUGGGUUUCCCGCCCAGGACCUGUGGUAUGCAGAACGUGUAAAGAAUAUGUUUGCUCCUCACCGUUAGGCUGAGAGAAAGGCAGACUGAUGGGCAGGACCAAGACAAACCCAAUGGUAAUAUUUGGCUGGUGUUGUCAGUCAUGUUGCUGACUUGUGAACUCCUGUGACUCAGGGCUGUUCCCGUGGAAGACGCCAUCUUGAGUUCUGUUGGUGGGUGUGUGCUUUUUCCUCCCUCUCUUUCUCCAUCUCUCACUGUGUCCCUCUAUGAAAUGAGGUCAUACUUUAUCCUUAUUGGGAUGCUUUGGGAUUCCCCUCUGUAUCGGGCCCAGCAGGACAUGUAAAAAUGUCCCUCCAUCAUGGGACUGAGUGAAGCUGGUAGCAGGAGGCACAACAGACCAUGAGACGCAUGUGGUAUUAAUGGCUGCCUGGCCCUCACCUCACAGUUAACCGCGAGCCACACUGAAGUCUCUGGUUCGACACCAACAAGACGUACUUUUUUUAUAUUGGCACAUUGGAGGUGUUGCUAUAGCAACAGAUCUCGGCCUAGAAGCACUUGUCCUUUCCCACUUGCCAAGAGGAGAUGCAUUUCUUCUUUAGUCAGUUCUCAUCACCAUGGUUGUGGUCCACAUGGAGUGGCCUUGUGAGUGUGCAAGAGCUGGCCGAACUGAGGAGGGGAGCAUUUGUUCUGAGCACAGAUGGGUGUGGCUCAUUUGGGAGUGGUAGCUCUGGCUCUCUAUUGAUCUUUAGAAAUGACUUGUGCAUUCUCCAAUGAGGUGUCCUGCCUGUAUCACACUCCACUGCCCCAGAGUUAGAGAUCAGGUAGGUAGGGGCUCAGUGGGAUUGUGUUUGGGUGAACAUCUGGAGCUGGCCACCCUUGCUUUGUGGUUUCUUCAGCCUUCUCUGCUUGCACUGAGGGUUUGCUGAAUCACUGCAUCGCACCUGGACUCUCUUCCAAGCCACACAAGCAAGUUCUCAACCCUUUUGGUUUUCUGGAUCCUUGCUUCUUUUAAUUACAGGCAUGCCAUUGCAGCCAGGAGUGACAGUGCCCCCUAUGGGAGGCAGGAGGGAGUGCACAGAGAGCAGAGUGGCAGCCACAGUGCUGGGCUGACCCUCUCAGUCUUGGGAGAAUGAGGAAGUUUCUUAACCUCUGGUAUCUCAGCAUCCCUGCUGAUUGGUGUGAUGGGCCUGAAGAAGAUCUCUGCCUAUAUGAAGACCAGCCGCUUCCUUCCAAGUCCUGUGUAUUUAAAACAGGC
This is an RNA transcript of Grammomys surdaster, 2263 nucleotides long. It is a transcript of the gene named glutathione S-transferase Mu 6, with no coding region annotated. The record is from RefSeq and is a predicted model, not a curated record. Lineage: Eukaryota; Metazoa; Chordata; Mammalia; Rodentia; Muridae. The transcript is spliced from 8 exons.